This 515-nucleotide RNase MRP RNA is filed under the name Colletotrichum tofieldiae. Its description in RNAcentral is "RNase MRP". It matches the Rfam family "RNase MRP". From Rfam's summary of the family: RNase MRP is an enzymatically active ribonucleoprotein with two distinct roles in eukaryotes. In mitochondria it plays a direct role in the initiation of mitochondrial DNA replication. Lineage: Eukaryota; Fungi; Ascomycota; Sordariomycetes; Glomerellales; Glomerellaceae. The record is from Rfam by way of RNAcentral.
CCCUCGUCCGACAAAUCGCCAUCGAAGCUCGCAAACAGAGACGUCUUUUUCCAAAGGCGUCUCGGUCCUCUGGACCAAGCAAUGCUUUGGGAGAAAGUCCCCGGACACACGUUAUUCCUCCCUUCUGGGGGGGAACAAAAACGCCGCGGAAACGCGCCGCCAUAGAAGCACAGCGGCUGACCUCCAAGACCUGCGCCCGGACGUAAUGGCUUCUCUUGCCGCCCCGCCCCGUCGCUACAUCGUUGGCAUUCUACCUUUCCGAGACCCGAGUUUGCUUGUCCUGGGACCAUUUGGAUGAAGAUAUGAGUCCGCGCCUGGGAUCGGGAGACUUGGUGUUCUCGGGGAUGGUUGGUGCCUUUGAUGACGGGGUGGCCGCGCGGGGGAGGUCGCUUGCCGGGCGAAUUCGAGGGUUCGUCGGAGGAGUCUUUCGUCGAGAUCGACAGGUAUGCGAUUGCGCGCCCUUCCCUUCACCGGGGUGGGCGUGUUACUCGAUGGGGCUUAUUCUUGGUGCGAGG